GAUGAACGCUAGCGAUAGGCCUAACACAUGCAAGUCGAGGGGCAUCACAUGAAGUAGCAAUACGGAUGGUGGCGACCGGCGCACGGGUGAGUAACACGUAUGCAACCUGCCUUCAACAAGGGCAUAACCCGUUGAAAGACGGACUAAUUCCCUAUAACACAGGGGUCCCGCAUGGGAAUAUUUGUUAAAGAUUAAUCGGUUGAAGAUGGGCAUGCGUUCCAUUAGCUUGUUGGCGGGGUAACGGCCCACCAAGGCAACGAUGGAUAGGGGAACUGAGAGGUUUAUCCCCCACACUGGUACUGAGACACGGACCAGACUCCUACGGGAGGCAGCAGUGAGGAAUAUUGGUCAAUGGACGCAAGUCUGAACCAGCCACGUCGCGUGAAGGAAGACGGCCCUACGGGUUGUAAACUUCUUUUGUAAGGGAAUAAAGUGGGCCACGUGUGGCUUUUUUGCAUGUACCUUACGAAUAAGGAUCGGCUAACUCCGUGCCAGCAG
RNAcentral lists this ribosomal RNA (498 nucleotides) under uncultured bacterium. RNAcentral describes it as "bacterial SSU rRNA". It matches the Rfam family "Bacterial small subunit ribosomal RNA", at positions 28 to 514 of the family's 1533-position model. The record is from RNAcentral.